CCUACGGGAGACAGCAGUGAGGAAUAUUGGUCAAUGGGCGGGAGCCUGAACCAGCCAAGUCGCGUGAGGGAAGACGGUCCUAUGGAUUGUAAACCUCUUUAGGCGGGGAGCAAUGCCGGGCACGCGUGCCCGGAGGGAGAGUACCCGCAGAAUAAGCAUCGGCUAACUCCGUGCCAGCAGCCGCGGUAAUACGGGGGAUGCGCGCGGUAUCCGGAUUUAUGGGGUUUAAAGGGUGCGUAGGCGGAUUGUUAAGUCAGCGGUAAAAUGUCCGGGCUCAACCCGGGCCGGCCGUUGAAACUGGGGAUCUUGAGUGGGCGAGAAGUAUGCGGAAUGCGUGGUGUAGCGGUGAAAUGCAUAGAUAUCACGCAGAACUCCGAUUGCGAAGGCAGCAUACCGGCGCCCGACUGACGCUGAGGCACGAAAGCGUGGGGAUCGAACAGGAUUAGAUACCCGGGUAGUC
This 460-nucleotide ribosomal RNA is filed under the name uncultured bacterium. Its description in RNAcentral is "partial 16S ribosomal RNA". It matches the Rfam family "Bacterial small subunit ribosomal RNA", at positions 338 to 795 of the family's 1533-position model. The record is from RNAcentral.